Molecule: ribosomal RNA, 394 nt
Filed under: uncultured bacterium
Lineage: Bacteria
Description: bacterial SSU rRNA
Rfam family: Bacterial small subunit ribosomal RNA
Source: RNAcentral
GACGAACGCUGGCGGCGUGCUCAACACAUGCAAGUCGAGCGGUAAGGCCCUUUCGGGGGUACACGAGCGGCGAACGGGUGAGUAACACGUGGGUGACCUGCCCUCAGCUCUGGGAUAAGCCUGGGAAACCGGGUCUAAUACUGGAUAUGACUCCAUGACGCAUGUUGUGGGGUGGAAAGCCUUGUGCGGCUGAAGGAUGGGCCCGCGGCCUAUCAGCUUGUUGGUGGGGUGAUGGCCUACCAAGGCGACGACGGGUAGCCGGCCUGAGAGGGCGACCGGCCACACUGGGACUGAGACACGGCCCAGACUCCUACGGGAGGCAGCAGUGGGGAAUCUUGCGCAAUGGGCGAAAGCCUGACGCAGCGACGCCGCGUGAGGGAUGACGGCCUCGGUU